RNAcentral lists this ribosomal RNA (1241 nucleotides) under metagenome. Its description in RNAcentral is "bacterial SSU rRNA". It matches the Rfam family "Bacterial small subunit ribosomal RNA", at positions 247 to 1498 of the family's 1533-position model. The record is from RNAcentral.
UGUUGGCGGGGUAACGGCCCACCAAGGCAACGAUCAGUAGGGGUUCUGAGAGGAAGGUCCCCCACAUUGGAACUGAGACACGGUCCAAACUCCUACGGGAGGCAGCAGUGAGGAAUAUUGGUCAAUGGGCGAGAGCCUGAACCAGCCAAGUAGCGUGCAGGAAGACGGCCCUAUGGGUUGUAAACUGCUUUUAUAAGGGAAUAAAGUGAGUCUCGUGAGACUUUUUGCAUGUACCUUAUGAAUAAGGACCGGCUAAUUCCGUGCCAGCAGCCGCGGUAAUACGGAAGGUCCGGGCGUUAUCCGGAUUUAUUGGGUUUAAAGGGAGCGUAGGCCGGAGAUAAAGCGUGUUGUGAAAUGUAGACGCUCAACGUCUGCACUGCAGCGCGAACUGGUUUCCUUGAGUACGCACAAAGUGGGCGGAAUUCGUGGUGUAGCGGUGAAAUGCUUAGAUAUCACGAAGAACUCCGAUUGCGAAGGCAGCUCACUGGAGCGCAACUGACGCUGAAGCUCGAAAGUGCGGGUAUCGAACAGGAUUAGAUACCCUGGUAGUCCGCACGGUAAACGAUGGAUGCCCGCUGUUGGUCUGAACAGGUCAGCGGCCAAGCGAAAGCAUUAAGCAUCCCACCUGGGGAGUACGCCGGCAACGGUGAAACUCAAAGGAAUUGACGGGGGCCCGCACAAGCGGAGGAACAUGUGGUUUAAUUCGAUGAUACGCGAGGAACCUUACCCGGGCUUGAAUUGCAGAGGAAGGAUUUGGAGACAAUGACGCCCUUCGGGGUCUCUGUGAAGGUGCUGCAUGGUUGUCGUCAGCUCGUGCCGUGAGGUGUCGGCUUAAGUGCCAUAACGAGCGCAACCCCUCUCCUUAGUUGCCAUCAGGUUAAGCUGGGCACUCUGGGGACACUGCCACCGUAAGGUGUGAGGAAGGUGGGGAUGACGUCAAAUCAGCGCGGCCCUUACGUCCGGGGCUACACACGUGUUACAAUGGCAGGUACAGAGAGACGGUUGUACGUAAGUACGAUCAAAUCCUUAAAGCCUGUCUCAGUUCGGACUGGGGUCUGCAACCCGACCCCACGAAGCUGGAUUCGCUAGUAAUCGCGCAUCAGCCAUGGCGCGGUGAAUACGUUCCCGGGCCUUGUACACACCGCCCGUCAAGCCAUGAAAGCCGGGGGCGCCUAAAGUCCGUGACCGUAAGGAGCGGCCUAGGGCGAAACUGGUAAUUGGGGCUAAGUCGUAACAAGGUA